This 427-nucleotide ribosomal RNA is filed under the name uncultured prokaryote. RNAcentral's name for it is "bacterial SSU rRNA". It matches the Rfam family "Bacterial small subunit ribosomal RNA", at positions 355 to 796 of the family's 1533-position model. The record is from RNAcentral.
UGGGGAAUUUUCCGCAAUGGGCGAAAGCCUGACGGAGCAACGCCGCGUGCGGGAUGACGGCCUGUGGGUUGUAAACCGCUUUUAACAGGGAAGAAGAUCUGACGGUACCUGUUGAAUCAGCAUCGGCUAACUCCGUGCCAGCAGCCGCGGUAAUACGGAGGAGGCAAGCGUUAUCCGGAAUUAUUGGGCGUAAAGCGUCCGCAGGUGGUUUUUCAAGUCCGCUGUCAAAGACCGGAGCUUAACUCCGGAGAGGCAGUAGAAACUGAGAGACUAGAGUUCGGUAGGGGUAGAGGGAAUUCCCAGUGUAGCGGUGAAAUGCGUAGAGAUUGGGAAGAACACCAGUGGCGAAAGCGCUCUACUGGGCCGAAACUGACACUCACAGGACGAAAGCUAGGGGAGCGAAAGGGAUUAGAUACCCCCGUAGUCC